RNAcentral lists this ribosomal RNA (254 nucleotides) under uncultured bacterium. Its description in RNAcentral is "partial 16S ribosomal RNA". It matches the Rfam family "Bacterial small subunit ribosomal RNA", at positions 524 to 776 of the family's 1533-position model. The record is from RNAcentral.
UACGGGGGGAGCAAGCGUUGUUCGGAUUUACUGGGCGUAAAGGGCGCGUAGGCGGCCAGUGCAAGUCAGUUGUGAAAUCUCCGAGCUUAACUCGGAAAGGUCAACUGAUACUGCUCGGCUAGAGUGCGGAAGGGGCAACUGGAAUUCUUGGUGUAGCGGUGAAAUGCGUAGAUAUCAAGAGGAACACCUGCGGCGAAGGCGGGUUGCUGGGCCGACACUGACGCUGAGGCGCGAAAGCCAGGGGAGCAAACGGG